This 291-nucleotide long non-coding RNA is filed under the name Setaria viridis. Its description in RNAcentral is "long non-coding RNA (SVIR_LNC002765)". Lineage: Eukaryota; Viridiplantae; Streptophyta; Magnoliopsida; Poales; Poaceae. The record is from RNAcentral.
GAAACGCAUAUCUCCUUCCACUUCGUCGCAGUUUCCCCCUACGCCGGGCUGGCCCUCUGUCCAAACCCCAAAUCUGCCAGGUAUAUAUAUGGUAAUGACUUUUAGUACAGCCGGCUGUCCGAUAAACGAUUGCUACAGCGCUUAUCACUUAUAUUCAAUCAAUAAUUAACUACUGCGAUAGUUUUUCCGAGCGAGAGGAUUUUGCAUGUGUAACUGACAGGUCAUUAGCCCUUUCACCCCACCUGACCACAUGCAAUCAAUUUUUUUCAAAUUUGAAAAGUUAUAAUUCUU